Molecule: long non-coding RNA, 1049 nt
Organism: Helianthus annuus (common sunflower)
Lineage: Eukaryota; Viridiplantae; Streptophyta; Magnoliopsida; Asterales; Asteraceae
Exons: 3
Source: RefSeq, a predicted model, not a curated record
UCUAUUAUCUGGAGAUAACAUUGAAUGUUAACUCCAUGACAAAGUUUUCAUGUUAUGAAGAGAACUAGAACUGUGAGCUACUCUAAUAAAUAGGUUAAACUCAUGACUUUUUAGUGAAUGAUUCAAAAUUAUAAUAUUAGUAAACGGGUCCCACAUAUCAAAGUUAAUUUACGGUGACACGGAGAUUUAAUGAAGCACUAUGUUUAAUAUAUGAAAGUUUCAUAUCCAUUUGUUAGUGAAAUAGUUUAUAGUUUGUAGGAGACUAAGCUGCAUACAUGCUUUCUCCAAGGUUGAUGUGGCAACUUCAACCUAAAUUAUCUUUGGAGGUUUGUCAAUUUAUUCAUAAAUUUUCUAUCUUGAAAGUUUAUAUUUAUAUUUAAAUUAUAAUAUAUAUGUUUGCUCGAUCUAUGAAAUGGUUCCAACUCCACGGAAUUUGGAGGGCAACAAGAUAUUGAUGGUUUCUUAGCUGGUGGACCUUCUUUCAAGGAUAAUAACCAGAGCAUGCAACAAUAUAAGGUUAGGAAAAAAGGAACCACAAGGGGAAGAGGUGGGGAACAUUGUUGCUAACAAGGGAAGGAAAUUAGAUAUCGACGACGAUGAUGUGCUGAUGAGAAUAAACACAUCUCAACCAAGAACCUGAGGAGAUUGAUGACGGAAGAAAGAUGUGCGUGAAAUGGUGAUUGACUUUCUUUCAAGAUUUAUGAGUUUCGAGUGGAUUUUGGCGGUAAAAUCUAGAGGUGGGAAAUAAUUUUGCUUUCAAAAUUUUCAAAUGAGUAAACUGUCAAAAUGGUGCCUAAGGUUUGGUUAUUUUUUUCAUUUUAGUCUAAAACUCAAAUCUUUUGAAUAUAGGUCCAUGUGGUUUUGAAUUUUGUUGCUAUUUUUCAUCCAAAAUCAAAAUCUGGUCAGAUUUUUCAGUUAUUAUCCAGUUUUUGUCUUUUUCCUCCGUUUUAAUGAAUGGCAAAAUGAUCUUUUAACGUUUUAUUAUAACAAAUUAAAAAAUCUGACCCUUCACUGGAAAUGUGUCAAAAGUUCCAACUAAUUUCUGACAA